This 425-nucleotide ribosomal RNA is filed under the name uncultured bacterium. RNAcentral describes it as "partial 16S ribosomal RNA". It matches the Rfam family "Bacterial small subunit ribosomal RNA", at positions 354 to 796 of the family's 1533-position model. The record is from RNAcentral.
GUGGGGAAUAUUGGACAAUGGGCGCAAGCCUGAUCCAGCCAUGCCGCGUGAGUGAUGAAGGCCUUAGGGUUGUAAAGCUCUUUCAGUGGGGACGAUAAUGACGGUACCCACAGAAGAAGCCCCGGCUAACUUCGUGCCAGCAGCCGCGGUAAUACGAAGGGGGCUAGCGUUGUUCGGAUUUACUGGGCGUAAAGCGCACGUAGGCGGAUCGUUAAGUCGGGGGUAAAAUCCUGGAGCUCAACUCCAGAACUGCCUUCGAUACUGGCGAUCUUGAGUCCGGAAGAGGUGAGUGGAACUCCUAGUGUAGAGGUGGAAUUCGUAGAUAUUAGGAAGAACACCAGUGGCGAAGGCGGCUCACUGGUCCGGUACUGACGCUGAGGUGCGAAAGCGUGGGGAGCAAACAGGAUUAGAUACCCUUGUAGUCC